Molecule: ribosomal RNA, 216 nt
Filed under: uncultured bacterium
Lineage: Bacteria
Description: partial 16S ribosomal RNA
Rfam family: Bacterial small subunit ribosomal RNA
Source: RNAcentral
GUAUGGGGAUCUGCCCGAUAGAGGGGGAUAACUACUGGAAACGGUGGCUAUACCGCAUAAUGUCUACGGACCAAAGCAGGGGCUCUUCGGACCUUGCACUAAUCGGAUGAACCCAUAUGGGAUUAGCUAGUAGGUGGGGUAAAGGCUCACCUAGGCGACGAUCUCUAGCUGGUCUGAGAGGAUGAUCAGCCACACUGGGACUGAGACACGGCCCAG